This 512-nucleotide ribosomal RNA is filed under the name uncultured bacterium. RNAcentral's name for it is "partial 16S ribosomal RNA". It matches the Rfam family "Bacterial small subunit ribosomal RNA", at positions 28 to 507 of the family's 1533-position model. The record is from RNAcentral.
GAUGAACGCUGGCGGCGUGCCUAAUACAUGCAAGUCGAACGAAACUUCUUUAUCACCGAGUGCUUGCACUCACCGAUAAAGAGUUGAGUGGCGAACGGGUGAGUAACACGUGGGCAACCUGCCCAAAAGAGGGGGAUAACACUUGGAAACAGGUGCUAAUACCGCAAAACCAUAGUUACCGCAUGGUAACUAUGUAAAAGGUGGCUAUACUACCGCUUUUGGAUGGGCCCGCGGCGCAUUAGCUAGUUGGUAGGGUAAAGGCUUACCAAGGCAAUGAUGCGUAGCCGAAUUGAGAGGUUGAUCGGCCACAUUGGGACUGAGACACGGCCCAAACUCCUACGGGAGGCAGCAGUAGGGAAUCUUCCACAAUGGGCGAAAGCCUGAUGGAGCAACGCCGCGUGGGUGAAGAAGGUCUUCGGAUCGUAAAACCCUGUUGUUAGAGAAGAAAGUGCGUGAGAGUAACUGUUCACGUUUCGACGGUAUCUAACCAGAAAGCCACGGCUAACUACGUG